CGGGGGGGGCAAGCGUUGUUCGGAAUUACUGGGCGUAAAGGGCUUGUAGGUGGCCAACUAAGUCAAACGUGAAAUCCCUCAGCUUAACUGGGGAACUGCGUCUGAUACUGGAUGGCUUGAGUUUGGGAGAGGGAUGCGGAAUUCCAGGUGUAGCGGUGAAAUGCGUAGAUAUCUGGAGGAACACCGGUGGCGAAGGCGGCAUCCUGGACCAAUACUGACACUGAAAAGCGAAAGCCAGGGGAGCAAACGGGAUUAGAUACCCCGGUAGUCCUGGCCCUAAACGAUGAAUGCUUGGUGUGGCGGGUAUCGAUCCCUGCCGUGCCGAAGCUAACGCAUUAAGCAUUCCGCCUGGGGAGUACGGUCGCAAGGCUG
Molecule: ribosomal RNA, 372 nt
Filed under: uncultured organism
Description: bacterial SSU rRNA
Rfam family: Bacterial small subunit ribosomal RNA
Source: RNAcentral